AGUUGCCAUCAUUCAGUUGGGCACUCUAAAGGGACUGCCGGUGGAUAAGCCGCGAGGAAGGUGGGGGAUGACGUCAAGUCCUCAUGGCCCUUACCGGGCUGGGCUACACACGUGCUACAAUGGCGGUGACAGUGGGAUGCAAAGGGGCGACCCCUCGCAAAUCUCAAAAAGCCGUCUCAGUUCGGAUUGUACUCUGCAACUCGAGUGCAUGAAGUUGGAAUCGCUAGUAAUCGUGGAUCAGCAUGCCACGGUGAAUACGUUCCCGGGCCUU
Molecule: ribosomal RNA, 271 nt
Filed under: uncultured Xanthobacter sp.
Lineage: Bacteria; Pseudomonadati; Pseudomonadota; Alphaproteobacteria; Hyphomicrobiales; Xanthobacteraceae
Description: partial 16S ribosomal RNA
Rfam family: Bacterial small subunit ribosomal RNA
Source: RNAcentral